ACUCCUACGGGAGGCAGCAGUGGGGAAUUUUGGACAAUGGGCGAAAGCCUGAUCCAGCAAUGCCGCGUGUGUGAAGAAGGCCUUCGGGUUGUAAAGCACUUUUGUCCGGAAAGAAAUCCUUGGCUCUAAUACAGUCGGGGGAUGACGGUACCGGAAGAAUAAGCACCGGCUAACUACGUGCCAGCAGCCGCGGUAAUACGUAGGGUGCGAGCGUUAAUCGGAAUUACUGGGCGUAAAGCGUGCGCAGGCGGUUUGCUAAGACCGAUGUGAAAUCCCCGGGCUCAACCUGGGAACUGCAUUGGUGACUGGCAGGCUAGAGUAUGGCAGAGGGGGGUAGAAUUCCACGUGUAGCAGUGAAAUGCGUAGAGAUGUGGAGGAAUACCGAUGGCGAAGGCAGCCCCCUGGGCCAAUACUGACGCUCAUGCACGAAAGCGUGGGGAGCAAACAGGAUUAGAAACCCUAGUAGUCCCAUG
RNAcentral lists this ribosomal RNA (473 nucleotides) under uncultured organism. RNAcentral's name for it is "partial 16S ribosomal RNA". It matches the Rfam family "Bacterial small subunit ribosomal RNA", at positions 335 to 799 of the family's 1533-position model. The record is from RNAcentral.